UACAGAGGGUGCGAGCGUUAAUCGGAAUUACUGGGCGUAAAGCGCACGUAGGCGGCUUGGUAUGUCGGGUGUGAAAUCCCCGGGCUCAACCUGGGAACUGCAUCCGAAACUGCCUUGCUAGAGUAUGGGAGAGGGAAGUGGAAUUUCCGGUGUAGCGGUGAAAUGCGUAGAUAUCGGAAGGAACAUCAGUGGCGAAGGCGACUUCCUGGACCAAUACCGACGCUCAGGUGCGAAAGCGUGGGGAGCAAACAGG
RNAcentral lists this ribosomal RNA (253 nucleotides) under uncultured bacterium. Its description in RNAcentral is "partial 16S ribosomal RNA". It matches the Rfam family "Bacterial small subunit ribosomal RNA", at positions 524 to 776 of the family's 1533-position model. The record is from RNAcentral.